RNAcentral lists this ribosomal RNA (664 nucleotides) under uncultured bacterium. Its description in RNAcentral is "bacterial SSU rRNA". It matches the Rfam family "Bacterial small subunit ribosomal RNA", at positions 186 to 851 of the family's 1533-position model. The record is from RNAcentral.
CCGCAUGGGGAUAUUUGCUAAAGAUUCAUCGCUGAUAGAUAGGCAUGCGUUCCAUUAGGCAGUUGGCGGGGUAACGGCCCACCAAACCGACGAUGGAUAGGGGUUCUGAGAGGAAGGUCCCCCACAUUGGUACUGAGACACGGACCAAACUCCUACGGGAGGCAGCAGUGAGGAAUAUUGGUCAAUGGGCGCGAGCCUGAACCAGCCAAGUCGCGUGAGGGAUGAAGGUUCUAUGGAUCGUAAACCUCUUUUAUAAGGGAAUAAAGUGUGGGACGUGUCCUAUUUUGUAUGUACCUUAUGAAUAAGGAUCGGCUAACUCCGUGCCAGCAGCCGCGGUAAUACGGAGGAUCCGAGCGUUAUCCGGAUUUAUUGGGUUUAAAGGGUGCGUAGGCGGCCUUUUAAGUCAGCGGUGAAAGUCUGUGGCUCAACCAUAGAAUUGCCGUUGAAACUGGGGGGCUUGAGUAUGUUUGAGGCAGGCGGAAUGCGUGGUGUAGCGGUGAAAUGCUUAGAUAUCACGCAGAACCCCGAUUGCGAAGGCAGCCUGCCAAGCCAUGACUGACGCUGAUGCACGAAAGCGUGGGGAUCAAACAGGAUUAGAUACCCUGGUAGUCCACGCAGUAAACGAUGAUCACUAGCUGUUUGCGAUACAGUGUAAGCGGCACAG